UUUCUGCUCCCUCCGUCCCAAAAUUCUUGUCUUAGAUUUGUCUAGAUACGGAUUUAUCUAGUCACGUCAUAGUGUUAUAUACAUCCGUACCUAGACAAAUCUAAGACAAGAAUUUUGGGACGGAGGUAAAUAUGAU
This is a non-coding RNA of Triticum aestivum (bread wheat), 136 nucleotides long. Lineage: Eukaryota; Viridiplantae; Streptophyta; Magnoliopsida; Poales; Poaceae. The record is from Rfam.